Molecule: RNA transcript, 387 nt
Organism: Bombyx mori (domestic silkworm)
Lineage: Eukaryota; Metazoa; Arthropoda; Insecta; Lepidoptera; Bombycidae
Exons: 4
Source: RefSeq, a predicted model, not a curated record
GAAGAAGGCGUAUUGCGGGCUGCCCGCCGGGUGCGACGUGUAACAAACCCGACUUCUGACUGCGACGCCAGCAGACAAAGCAAGUGGCCGUCGAUGAAAAGUCGUCAAGACAAAAAAGAUGUAUCGUGGUUCAGAGGCAGUCCGGCCCAGGGGGCGGGGGGACCGCUGACGCAGAAGAGGUCGCCGACGAGGAUGACUACCGCAGACCCGGCUCCAAGAAUCCGAGGCUCAGCAAGCUCACGAACAAACGGAAUCCAGAUUUUGAUAUAGAGUUCGUUCCGGAGUUCUUAAAGAAACAGGCGAUGUCUUUAAGGAACAACGACUUCUCGUUCAAGAAGGCUCUGAAGCGACAUUUUAACAUUUAAAAUAAAUAAUUGAACAACUAAA